This 62-nucleotide transfer RNA is filed under the name Faxonius sanbornii. Its description in RNAcentral is "Orconectes sanbornii tRNA-Gly". The record is from RNAcentral. Lineage: Eukaryota; Metazoa; Arthropoda; Malacostraca; Decapoda; Cambaridae.
AAUUUUUUAGUAUAAGUGUAUAUUUGGCUUCCAACCAAAAGGUCUAGACUCUAGAAAAAUUA